CCUACGGGAGGCAGCAGUGAGGAAUAUUGGUCAAUGGGCGUAAGCCUGAACCAGCCAAGUCGCGUGAGGGAUGAAGGUUCUAUGGAUCGUAAAUCUCUUUUAUAAGGGAAUAAAGUGUGGGACGUGUCCCGUUUUGUAUGUACCUUAUGAAUAAGAAUCGGCUAACGCCGUGCCAGCAGCCGCGGUAAUACGGAGGAUCCGAGCGUUAUCUGGAUUUGUUGGGUUGAAAGGGGGCGUAGGCGGCCUUUUAAGUCAGCGGUGAAAGGCUGUGGCCCAACCAGAGAAUUGCCGUUGAAACUGGGAGGCUUGAGUGUGUUUGAGGCAGGCGGAAUGCGUGGUGUAGCGGUGAAAUGCGUAGA
RNAcentral lists this ribosomal RNA (359 nucleotides) under uncultured bacterium. RNAcentral's name for it is "partial 16S ribosomal RNA". It matches the Rfam family "Bacterial small subunit ribosomal RNA", at positions 338 to 694 of the family's 1533-position model. The record is from RNAcentral.